Molecule: ribosomal RNA, 660 nt
Filed under: uncultured bacterium
Lineage: Bacteria
Description: bacterial SSU rRNA
Rfam family: Bacterial small subunit ribosomal RNA
Source: RNAcentral
UCCUGCUAAUACCGCAUAGCCAUGAGCACCGCAUGGAGCUCAUGCCAAAUAUCCUUUCGGGGAUAGCGCAGGGAUGGACCUAUGGCGCAUUAGCUUGUUGGCGGGGCAACGGCCCACCAAGGCAACGAUGCGUAGCCGGCCUGAGAGGGCGGACGGCCACAUUGGGACUGAGACACGGCCCAGACUCCUACGGGAGGCAGCAGUAGGGAAUUUUCGGCAAUGGGGGAAACCCUGACCGAGCAACGCCGCGUGAGCGAAGAAGGCCUUCGGGUCGUAAAGCUCUGUUGUAAAGGAAGAACGGCGCAUACAGGAAAUGGUAUGCGAGUGACGGUACUUUACCAGAAAGCCACGGCUAACUACGUGCCAGCAGCCGCGGUAAUACGUAGGUGGCGAGCGUUAUCCGGAAUCAUUGGGCGUAAAGAGGGAGCAGGCGGCCGCAAGGGUCUGUGGUGAAAGACCGAAGCUAAACUUCGGUAAGCCAUGGAAACCGGGCGGCUAGAGUGCGGAAGAGGAUCGUGGAAUUCCAUGUGUAGCGGUGAAAUGCGUAGAUAUAUGGAGGAACACCAGUGGCGAAGGCGACGGUCUGGGCCGCAACUGACGCUCAUUCCCGAAAGCGUGGGGAGCAAAUAGGAUUAGAUACCCUAGUAGUCCACGCCGUAA